This 219-nucleotide ribosomal RNA is filed under the name uncultured bacterium. RNAcentral describes it as "partial 16S ribosomal RNA". It matches the Rfam family "Bacterial small subunit ribosomal RNA", at positions 118 to 334 of the family's 1533-position model. The record is from RNAcentral.
UAAGUAAUCUACCUUUGAGUGGGGAAUAACAUCGGGAAACCGAUGCUAAUACCGCAUAAUGCAGCGGCAUCGCAAGAUGACAGUUGUUAAAGAAUUUAUUCGCUUAAAGAGGAGCUUGCGGCAGAUUAGCUAGUUGGUAAGGUAAUGGCUUACCAAGGCUACGAUCUGUAACCGGUCUAAGAGGACGGUCGGUCACACUGACACUGAAUAACGGGUCAG